UGCAGAAUCCCGUGAACCAUCGAGUCUUUGAACGCAAGUUGCGCCCGAACCCUUCGGGUUGAGGGCACGUCUGCCUGGGCGUCACGUACGCAUGUCUCUCACAACCCUUCGCCCCUUGCGGACGUAGGGCUUCGUGCGAGCAGAGAUUGGUAUCCCGUGCUCUCGAGGCGCGGUUUACCUAAAAAUAGAGAGCCAGUGACAAAGCGUCACGUCUAGUGGUGGUUAAUGUGCCUUUACGGCCGACCAGUUCGCGGCGUGAAUGCUUGUCGCUUGGAAAGCUCGAUCGACACCUUGAGCAUCGUCAAAUCGGUGUGCUACUGUCGCGACCCCAGGUCAGGCGGGACUACCCGCUGAAUUUAAGCAUAUCAAUAAGCGGAGGAAGAGAAACUUACAAGGAUUCCCUUAGUAACGGCGAGCGAACCGGGAAGAGCCCAGCUUGUAAAUCGGGCAGCCUCGCUGUUUGA
Molecule: ribosomal RNA, 464 nt
Filed under: Saxifraga hirculus
Lineage: Eukaryota; Viridiplantae; Streptophyta; Magnoliopsida; Saxifragales; Saxifragaceae
Description: eukaryotic LSU rRNA
Rfam family: Eukaryotic large subunit ribosomal RNA (bases 324-464)
Source: RNAcentral